ACUUUAUGCUUAGGGCAUAUAAAAAGAUUUUUAUUAAAUCUCUCCCACACUUCAUAUAGAAUCUCCUUAUUUAGUUGACAAAAAUUUGCGAUUUCGUCCUGCAAUU
This is a small nucleolar RNA of Capsicum annuum, 106 nucleotides long. Lineage: Eukaryota; Viridiplantae; Streptophyta; Magnoliopsida; Solanales; Solanaceae. The record is from RefSeq and is a predicted model, not a curated record.